RNAcentral lists this ribosomal RNA (253 nucleotides) under uncultured bacterium. RNAcentral describes it as "partial 16S ribosomal RNA". It matches the Rfam family "Bacterial small subunit ribosomal RNA", at positions 524 to 776 of the family's 1533-position model. The record is from RNAcentral.
GACGAACCGUGCGAACGUUGUUCGGAAUCACUGGGCUUAAAGGGCGCGUAGGCGGGCCGCCAGGUCCGGGGUGAAAGCCUCCAGCUCAACUGGAGAAGUGCCUUGGAUACCGGCGGCCUCGAGGGAGGUAGGGGCGUGCGGAACUUCGGGUGGAGCGGUGAAAUGCGUAGAUAUCCGAAGGAACACCGGUGGCGAAAGCGGCGCGCUGGAUCUCUUCUGACGCUGAGGCGCGAAAGCCAGGGGAGCAAACGGG